RNAcentral lists this ribosomal RNA (373 nucleotides) under uncultured organism. RNAcentral describes it as "bacterial SSU rRNA". It matches the Rfam family "Bacterial small subunit ribosomal RNA", at positions 526 to 896 of the family's 1533-position model. The record is from RNAcentral.
CGUAGGGUGCGAGCGUUAAUCGGAAUUACUGGGCGUAAAGCGUGCGCAGGCGGUUAUGUAAGACAGAUGUCGAAAUCCCCGGGCUCAACCUGGGACCUGCAUUUGUGACUGCAUAGCUAGAGUACGGUAGGAGGGGGAUGGAAUUCCGCGUGUAGCAGUGAAAUGCGUAGAUAUGCGGAGGAACACCGAUGGCGAAGGCAACUCCCCUGGACCUGUACUGACGCUCAUGCACGAAAGCGUGGGGAGCAAACAGGAUUAGAUACCCUGGUAGUCCACGCCCUAAACGAUGUCAACUGGUUGUUGGGUCUUCACUGACUCAGUAACGAAGCUAACGCGUGAAGUUGACCGCCUGGGGAGUACGGCCGCAAGGUUG